GAGAGAACUUCAUGGCCGAGUGGAUGGGGUAGCCGUUGGGGCCCAUGAUGUUGCACCGAGCAUUGCACAGCAGCAGCACGCGGACCAUCUCCUGCUUCCCCAGCUGGCAGGCCAGGUGCAGCGGGGUCAGCCCUUGGUUAUUCACCUGGUUCAGGCCAGCCACUGCGUUCCUUCCAAGGAGCUGAUGAAAGAGGAAGGGAAGUUUGACUCCAUAGGAUGCUGAUAAGAACGUAAAGAGGCCGGGCGCAGUGGCUCAUGCCUGUAAUCCUAGCACUUUGGGAGGCCAAGGAGGGGGAUCGCUUGAGUCCAGGAGUUUGAGACCAGCCUGGACAACAUGGUGAAACCCCAUCUCUACAAAAAAUACAAAAAUUAGCCAUGCAUGGUGGCUCAUGCCUGUAGUCCCAGCUACUUGGGAGGCUGAGGCAGGAGGAUCACUUAAGCCCAGAAGGCAGAGGUUGUAGUGAGCUGAGAUCGCACCACUGCACUCCAGCCUGGGCAACAUAGCAAAAUCCUGUCUCAAAAAAAAAGUUAAAAAAUAUUGCCCGGCUCCUAGAAUUUAUUUAUUUCCUGACUUACAGCAAGCGAGUUAUCGUCUUCUGUAUUUUGUAGACUUUCUAAAUAAAGUCAAAUUCUUUCUUUUUCCACAGAGAAUAAAUGUGUAUCCUGGACUAUGUUUUUUGGCGAGGGGUGUCUAAAAUGGGGUUCUGCUUUCAACCCCUUAGGGCUUCUGGUGGCGGGGAGGGCUAGUGCACAUCACCAGCUAUUGCACAGGGUAUGAGGUGGAGGGGAGAUGGCGACAGAGACCAGUGAUGCUGAAACUUCGAUGCUUCCUCUUGGUUGCUUAGAGCACAGGAGCUCCUGGGAAGACAAAGCCAUGGGCACAAUGAAAUUUAGGACUGGAUUCUGGCGGAGCAUGGUGGCUCACACCUGUAAUCCCAGCACUUUGGGAGGCUGAAGCAAGAGGAUCAUCUGAGACUAGGAGUCCAAGAGCAACCCGGGCAACAUAGUGACACCCCAUCUCUACAAAAAAUAAAAAAUAAUUAGCCACAUGUGGUGGUACACAUGCCUAUUGUUCCAGCUACUGAAGAGGCUGAGGUGGGAGGAUCACUUGAGGCCAGGAGUUUGAGACCAGGCUGGGCAACAUAGCAAGACCCCCAUCUCUACAAGAAAUUUAAAAGUAAGAAAACAGGCCGGGCGCAGUGGCUCACACCUGUAAUCCCAGCACUUUGGGAGGCUGAGGCGGGUGGAUCAUUUGAGGUCAGGAGUUCAAGACCAGCCUGACCAACAUGGUGAAACCCCGUCUCUACUAAAAAUACAAAAAACAACAACAACAAAAAAAAAACAUGGCCCGGGUGCGGUGGCUCACGCCUGUAAUCCCAGCACUUUGGGAGGCUGAGGCAGGCGGAUCACGAGGUCAGGAGAUCGAGACCAUCCUGGCUAACACGGUGAAACCCCGUCUCUACUAAAAAUACAAAAAACAACAACAACAAAAAAAAAACAUGGCCCGGGUGCGGUGGCUCAUGCCUGUAAUCCCAGCACUUUGGGAGGCUGAGGCAGGCAGAUCACGAGGUCAGGAGAUCGAGACCAUCCUGGCUAACACGGUGAAACCCCGUCUCUACUAAAAAUACAAAAAAAAUUAGCCGGGCAUGGUGGCGGGCGCCUGUAGUCCCAGCUACUCGGGAGGCUGAGGCAGGAGAAUGGUGUGAAGCCGGGAGGCGGAGCUUGCAGUGAGCUGAGAUCGCGCCACUGGACUCCAGCCUGGGCGACAGAGUGAGACUCCGUCUCAAAAAAAAAAAGAAAAACAAAACAAAAAACAGAAAAACAUAGCUGAGUGUGGUGGCGCAUGUCUGUAGUCCUGGCUACUCAGGAGGUUGAGACAAGAGAGAAUCGCUUAAACCCGGGAAGCAGAGGUUGCAGUAAGCUGAGAUCGCGCCACUGCACUCCAGCCUGGGUGACAGAGCAAGACUCCAUCUCAAAAAAAAAAAAAAAAAGAAAAGAAAAGAAAAGAAAACAAUUAGCCAGUCAUGGUGGUGUGGUUGAGCCCAGGAGUUUGAGGCUGCAGUGAGCUAUGAUUGCACCACUGCACAAUCUAGGUGACACAGACCCUGUCUCAAAAGAAGAAGAAAUUUAGGGUUAAAUUCCCUGGGCAUCCCUUUAGUGAACAGACAGUCCCACCCAGAGAGGAAAAAACCCAGAUUUCAGAGUAAUUUUUCCAGCACUUUCACAUUGAGAUCUGAUUUUCUACAGCCAAGUGGAAACUAUCUUCCCCAUGUUUCGGAAUGCCCAGGGAGGCAGGGAGAGUGGCUUUCCCAGCCCCCACCUGCAGGCCUAAACCAUAACCCUGUGUCUUGUCCUAGGCCUCAAACUCACUAAUUUCAACCCAAUCUGCCAGCCCUUCUGGGGCACCCUGAAGAAGGAGUGGAGUAUACUGUGGUCUGUGGGUCACGGCAAUUGGGGUUUGAAUCUAGGUGUCUGUUCUUAGCUGUGGGAUCUUUGGUACUUAUUUGGUUUCUUACAGUCUCAGUUUACCAUCUGUAAAAUGAAGAUGCUAUGGGGCAUUACGUGCGAAAAACCCUGGAGACCUGUGGGGCUGCAGGUUUUAACACUCCGAACACACAUUUACAGUGGCACAGACCGAGGUGAGGCCAACUCUAUGGCUGGGUAUGGGGCUGGCUGGGUAUGGGGCCCGCGGGGUAAGGGACCAGUUGGGCGAAGGUGC
This 2719-nucleotide long non-coding RNA is filed under the name Homo sapiens (human). RNAcentral's name for it is "HSALNT0406038". The record is from RNAcentral. Lineage: Eukaryota; Metazoa; Chordata; Mammalia; Primates; Hominidae.